RNAcentral lists this ribosomal RNA (253 nucleotides) under uncultured bacterium. Its description in RNAcentral is "partial 16S ribosomal RNA". It matches the Rfam family "Bacterial small subunit ribosomal RNA", at positions 524 to 776 of the family's 1533-position model. The record is from RNAcentral.
UACGAAGGGGGCUAGCGUUGCUCGGAAUUACUGGGCGUAAAGGGCGCGUAGGCGGACAGUUUAGUCAGAGGUGAAAGCCCAGGGCUCAACCUUGGAAUUGCCUUUGAUACUGACUGUCUUGAGUACGGGAGAGGUGAGUGGAACUCCGAGUGUAGAGGUGAAAUUCGUAGAUAUUCGGAAGAACACCAGUGGCGAAGGCGACUCACUGGCCCGUUACUGACACUGAGAAGCGAAAGCAUGGGGAGCGAACAGG